UAUGUACUCCCUCCGUCCAAAAAUACUUGUUCUAAAAAUGGUUGUAUCUAGAUUUAUUUUAGUUAUAGAUAUUUUAUCCAUUUCUAUGACAAGUAUUUCCGGACAGAGGGAGUAGCAA
Molecule: non-coding RNA, 118 nt
Organism: Triticum aestivum (bread wheat)
Lineage: Eukaryota; Viridiplantae; Streptophyta; Magnoliopsida; Poales; Poaceae
Source: Rfam